This 659-nucleotide non-coding RNA is filed under the name Pan troglodytes (chimpanzee). The record is from RNAcentral. Lineage: Eukaryota; Metazoa; Chordata; Mammalia; Primates; Hominidae.
UUGGAUUUCCUUUGGCAGGGUUCCCUUGUAUGGAAGUUCUCAGGAGAACAACACUCUCAGAGUCCCAUUGUCUCAAAGAAUUCUUAAUGGACAGGUAUUUUUAAAGAAGUCAGGGUUAUCCACAGCUAUGUACAUAUAAUACCAAAUCAGAUCAUUUAUUCUGUACCUGAGGCAAAAAAGCUUCUGAUUCCUGAAUGGAUUUCUUCACUGGUUCUUCUGGGGGAUGAGAGAGAGAAACCAUUUACAAAGCUGAAGGAGAGCUAAGUCCACCCCUACACUGGCUGAGUUUCUUUGUAUAACAACUGUUCUCCCUUCCUAUUUUCUUCAAUUAUCUCUUCUUUCCCCAGCUAUACUUGGCCCCAAGGUUUCAACCUCAGACUGAAGAAAGUGACAUAAGAAAACACAAGUCCCAGUGCUAUCAGGGGCUAUCUGGAAAAGCUGCUUAAACAGCAAGUGAAAGAAGGCUCUCCCCUACCCCGUUCUAGGUGAGGAACAGGUGGCUGACUCACCCUGAAGUUAUUUGAAGGAUCCUUGAGACUCUUUUGGAUUGCUGCUUGGAGAACAUUCCUGUAACUUGUCCCUGCUCCUUGAACUAUAAAAGCAGAAGGGAGGUACUGAGUUAAAACUUAUAAAUUAUUAUCAAAUAAAUCUUCAAUAGU